GAUGAACGCUGGCGGCGUGCCUAAUACAUGCAAGUCGAGCGAACGGACGAGAAGCUUGCUUCUCUGAUGUUAGCGGCGGACGGGUGAGUAACACGUGGAUAACCUACCUAUAAGACUGGGAUAACUUCGGGAAACCGGAGCUAAUACCGGAUAAUAUUUUGAACCGCAUGGUUCAAAAGUGAAAGACGGUCUUGCUGUCACUUAUAGAUGGAUCCGCGCUGCAUUAGCUAGUUGGUAAGGUAACGGCUUACCAAGGCAACGAUGCAUAGCCGACCUGAGAGGGUGAUCGGCCACACUGGAACUGAGACACGGUCCAGACUCCUACGGGAGGCAGCAGUAGGGAAUCUUCGGCAAUGGGCGAAAGCCUGACGGAGCAACGCCGCGUGAGUGAUGAAGGUCUUCGGAUCGUAAAACUCUGUUAUUAGGGAAGAACAUAUGUGUAAGUAACUGUGCACAUCUUGACGGUACCUAAUCAGAAAGCAAUGGCUAACUACGUG
RNAcentral lists this ribosomal RNA (497 nucleotides) under uncultured bacterium. RNAcentral describes it as "partial 16S ribosomal RNA". It matches the Rfam family "Bacterial small subunit ribosomal RNA", at positions 28 to 507 of the family's 1533-position model. The record is from RNAcentral.